RNAcentral lists this small RNA (141 nucleotides) under Jeotgalibaca porci. The record is from RNAcentral. Lineage: Bacteria; Bacillati; Bacillota; Bacilli; Lactobacillales; Carnobacteriaceae.
AAUACAAAGACUCCACGGAUAUGGAAGUUGGUGAAAUUCCAACACGGUCCCGCCACUGUAAGAGCAUCUGUAAGCUCAAGUCAGAUCUUUAUCCUUGGAUGCUCAUACGCAAGCAUACUAUUUCGAGGUAAAAUGGUAUUG